RNAcentral lists this unclassified non-coding RNA (476 nucleotides) under Bellardia trixago. RNAcentral describes it as "partial external transcribed spacer". Lineage: Eukaryota; Viridiplantae; Streptophyta; Magnoliopsida; Lamiales; Orobanchaceae. The record is from RNAcentral.
GCAUAUGACUACUGGCAGGAUCAACCAGGUAGCAUUCCUCAUUCGACAUCAAAAAACGUAUGAACCAAGCUACAAGAGUUCGCUCAACACGUUUAUGAUUGUCAUUCGCAUGAAGCGUGGGACGCUCAGUUUGGGACAAGCAAAGGUGACAAUCACCCUCUUCCCGCUCAAUGUUCCGUACCAAAGAAGCCACGCACUACAUCAUGAGCCAACAAUCCAAAGCUCACCAAAGUGACAUGGAAAGUGAAUCACAAUGUGUGCUACAAAGUCCAUCCAACACUGCAACCCAAAAUGGUGCAAUGCUAGAUGGAUGUUCCAAAAAUUCCAACAAACGAGUGCCUUGAACACAGGAAGACAACACAGGAAACCAAUAAUAAGCAAACUAUGCUCAAUCCAACAAUUGAAGAGGGAUGCACCACAUGUUGUCGCUGCUCAAGCAGGGAUCCAACAUGCAAAUACAAACCAAACACCACUCA